AGCCUGAUGCAGCGACGCCGCGUGAGGGAUGACGGCCUUCGGGUUGUAAACCUCUUUCAGCAGGGACGAAGCGCAAGUGACGGUACCUGCAGAAGAAGGACCGGCCAACUACGUGCCAGCAGCCGCGGUAAUACGUAGGGUCCGAGCGUUGUCCGGAAUUACUGGGCGUAAAGAGCUCGUAGGUGGUUUGUCGCGUUGUUCGUGAAAACUCACAGCUUAACUGUGGGCGUGCGGGCGAUACGGGCAGACUGGAGUACUGCAGGGGAGACUGGAAUUCCUGGUGUAGCGGUGGAAUGCGCAGAUAUCAGGAGGAACACCGGUGGCGAAGGCGGGUCUCUGGGCAGUAACUGACGCUGAGGAGCGAAAGCGUGGGGAGCGAACAGGAUUAGAUACCCUGGUAGUCCACGCCGUAAACGGUGGGUACUAGGUGUGGGUUUCCUUCCUUGGGAUCCGUGCCGUAGCUAACGCAUUAAGUACCCCGCCUGGGGAGUACGGCCGCAAGGCUAAAACUCAAAGGAAUU
RNAcentral lists this ribosomal RNA (521 nucleotides) under Mycolicibacterium anyangense. RNAcentral's name for it is "bacterial SSU rRNA". It matches the Rfam family "Bacterial small subunit ribosomal RNA", at positions 380 to 911 of the family's 1533-position model. The record is from RNAcentral. Lineage: Bacteria; Bacillati; Actinomycetota; Actinomycetes; Mycobacteriales; Mycobacteriaceae.